This 1054-nucleotide ribosomal RNA is filed under the name uncultured beta proteobacterium. RNAcentral describes it as "bacterial SSU rRNA". It matches the Rfam family "Bacterial small subunit ribosomal RNA", at positions 154 to 1204 of the family's 1533-position model. Lineage: Bacteria; Pseudomonadati; Pseudomonadota; Betaproteobacteria. The record is from RNAcentral.
AAAGGUGUGCUAAUACCGCAUAAUCUCUCAGGAGAAAAGCAGGGGAUCGUAAGACCUUGCGCUUUAGGAGCGGCCGAUGCCUGAUUAGCUUGUUGGUAAGGUAAAAGCUUACCAAGGCUUCGAUCAGUAGCUGGUCUGAGAGGACGACCAGCCACACUGGGACUGAGACACGGCCCAGACUCCUACGGGAGGCAGCAGUGGGGAAUUUUGGACAAUGGGGGAAACCCUGAUCCAGCCAUGCCGCGUGAGUGAAGAAGGCCUUCGGGUUGUAAAGCUCUUUCAGCCGGAACGAAACGGUUACGAUUAAUACUCGUAAUUAAUGACGGUACCGGCAGAAGAAGCACCGGCUAACUACGUGCCAGCAGCCGCGGUAAUACGUAGGGUGCGAGCGUUAAUCGGAAUUACUGGGCGUAAAGGGUCCGCAGGUUGUUUUGUAAGUCAGAUGUGAAAGCCCCGGGCUUAACCUGGGAACUGCGUCUGAAACUACAAGGCUAGAGUAUGGCAGAGGGGGGUGGAAUUCCGCGUGUAGCAGUGAAAUGCGUAGAUAUGUGGAGGAACACCGAUGGCGAAGGCAGCCCCCUGGGUCAAUACUGACGCUGAGGGACGAAAGCAUGGGGAGCAAACAGGAUUAGAUACCCUGGUAGUCCAUGCCCUAAACGAUGUCAACUAGUUGUCGGGCCUUUACGGGCUUGGUAACGUAGCUAACGCGUGAAGUUGACCGCCUGGGGAGUACGAUCGCAAGAUUAAAACUCAAAUGAAUUGACGGGGACCCGCACAAGCGGUGGAUUAUGUGGAUUAAUUCGAUGCAACGCGAAAAACCUUACCUACCCUUGACAUGUAUCGAAGCCCGCAGAAAAGCGGAGGUGCCCGAAAGGGAACGAUAACACAGGUGCUGCAUGGCUGUCGUCAGCUCGUGUCGUGAGAUGUUGGGUUAAGUCCCGCAACGAGCGCAACCCUUGUCAUUAAUUGCCAUCAUUUAGUUGGGCACUUUAAUGAGACUGCCGGUGACAAACCGGAGGAAGGUGGGGAUGACGUCAAGUCCUCAUGGCCCUUA